CCAGCGUGGUUAGUGGCGACGGGUGAGUAACACGUGGGCAAUCUGCCCUUCACUCUGGGACAAGCCCUGGAAACGGGGUCUAAUACCGGAUAACACUCCUGCCUGCAUGGGCGGGGGUUAAAAGCUCCGGCGGUGAAGGAUGAGCCCGCGGCCUAUCAGCUUGUUGGUGGGGUAAUGGCCUACCAAGGCGACGACGGGUAGCCGGCCUGAGAGGGCGACCGGCCACACUGGGACUGAGACACGGCCCAGACUCCUACGGGAGGCAGCAGUGGGGAAUAUUGCACAAUGGGCGAAAGCCUGAUGCAGCGACGCCGCGUGAGGGAUGACGGCCUUCGGGUUGUAAACCUCUUUCAGCAGGGAAGAAGCGAAAGUGACGGUACCUGCAGAAGAAGCACCGGCUAACUACGUGCCAGCAGCCGCGGUAAUACGUAGGGUGCGAGCGUUGUCCGGAAUUAUUGGGCGUAAAGAGCUCGUAGGCGGCUUGUCACGUCGGAUGUGAAAGCCCGGGGCUUAACCCCGGGUCUGCAUUCGAUACGGGCAGGCUAGAGUGUGGUAGGGGAGAUCGGAAUUCCUGGUGUAGCGGUGAAAUGCGCAGAUAUCAGGAGGAACACCGGUGGCGAAGGCGGAUCUCUGGGCCAUUACUGACGCUGAGGAGCGAAAGCGUGGGGAGCGAACAGGAUUAGAUACCCUGGUAGUCCACGCCGUAAACGUUGGGAACUAGGUGUUGGCGACAUUCCACGUCGUCGGUGCCGCAGCUAACGCAUUAAGUUCCCCGUCUGGGGGAGUACGGCCGCAAGGCUAAAACUCAAAGGGAAUUUGACGGGGGCUCGCCACAAGCAGCGGGA
Molecule: ribosomal RNA, 845 nt
Filed under: Streptomyces sp.
Lineage: Bacteria; Bacillati; Actinomycetota; Actinomycetes; Kitasatosporales; Streptomycetaceae
Description: bacterial SSU rRNA
Rfam family: Bacterial small subunit ribosomal RNA
Source: RNAcentral